RNAcentral lists this ribosomal RNA (245 nucleotides) under uncultured bacterium. RNAcentral describes it as "partial 16S ribosomal RNA". It matches the Rfam family "Bacterial small subunit ribosomal RNA", at positions 524 to 768 of the family's 1533-position model. The record is from RNAcentral.
UACGUAGGGUGCAAGCGUUGUUCGGAAUCACUGGGCGUAAAGGGAGCGUAGGCGGGGUUGUAAGUUAGGAGUUUAAACCUUGGGCUUAACCCAAGAUCGGCUCUUAAUACUGCGAUUCUUGAAUAUUGGAGAGGGUGAUGGAAUUCCAGGUGUAGCGGUGGAAUGCGUAGAUAUCUGGAAGAACACCAGUAGCGAAGGCGGUCACCUGGCCAAAUAUUGACGCUGAGGCUCGAAAGCUAGGGGAG